Molecule: long non-coding RNA, 1106 nt
Organism: Acinonyx jubatus (cheetah)
Lineage: Eukaryota; Metazoa; Chordata; Mammalia; Carnivora; Felidae
Exons: 3
Source: RefSeq, a predicted model, not a curated record
AGGGGAGAGAUUUAGACACAGAUACAUUGACAGGAAGAGUGCCCUGCGAAGAUGAGGACAGAGAUCAGUGUGAUGCAGCAGAAGCCAAGGAAGGCAAAGAUUGCCACCAAGCCACCUGGAGCUAGGAGAGGCCUGGAGCAGACACUUCCUGACUGCCCUAGCAAACACAGUGGAGGGCCCGCAGCUCUAUUCCGCCCUGUGGCCCAUUAUGCCUGCCAGCCUCCACCCCUUGUCUGUUUGUAUUUAUUGGUUGCCUCCUCUCACCGAAUGUCAGUGCCACCAGGAAGUGACUGUCAGUUUGUUUUCUGCUGCAUCUCCAGUGUCCAGAACAGUACCUGGCAUGUUCUACUGCAAUUCUGAGGCAUGGAAAAACCACCUCCCCAAACUUCUGAGAGUCACUGGGGGUUGGAGACUGAGCCCGGGGAAAGGGUGGUGAGGUGCCAUCUGCAUCUCUCCUAGGCUCAGUCACUCAGCCAUCUUCAGAAGUCAAGGUCACAAUCUCCCAGGCAGAGUCACCAGAAAGAGGAACAGAUGAGGGCGGUGGAACCCGGAACAGCUUGCCCUCCCCCUCCCCUGAAGGCACAAGAGGAUGGCAGACUUCUGGAUCAAGGAACUGGGCACUGGAGGGUGAGGGAUGCGGCGUGCAGACGGAGGAGGGAAAGGUAUUAUAAGUGGAUCAAAAAGAAGCCACAGGGCCUCUGGCUGGCCCAGUCAGUAGAGCAUGCGACUCUUGAUUUCGGGGUUGUGAGUUUGAGCCCCACGAUGGGUGGAGAGAUUACUUAAAAAAAAAAAAAAGAUGCCAGAGUAACUCCUUCCCUUCUCAAAUCCAUACCCCUUGCAGUGUGACUUUGCAACUCCUCCCAUCAAAGGUGAGUGUGUUUUCUCACCCAUGGCACAUAGCUGGAGUUUAAAAAUCUCAUCUAGGGGCACUUGGGUGGCUCAGUUAAACAUCUGACUCUUGAUUUUGGCUCAGGUCAUGAUCUCACGGUUUGUGGGAUUGAGCCCUGCGUCAGGCUCCAUGCUGACAAUGCAGAGCCUGCUUGGGAUUCUCUCUCUCCUCUCUCUCUGCCCUUCCCAUGCAUGCACUCUCUGUCUCAAAAUAAAUU